UGGGAAAGGAGAGAGGCAAAGCCC
RNAcentral lists this non-coding RNA (24 nucleotides) under Mus musculus (house mouse). The record is from RNAcentral. Lineage: Eukaryota; Metazoa; Chordata; Mammalia; Rodentia; Muridae.